RNAcentral lists this ribosomal RNA (305 nucleotides) under uncultured bacterium. Its description in RNAcentral is "bacterial SSU rRNA". It matches the Rfam family "Bacterial small subunit ribosomal RNA", at positions 333 to 637 of the family's 1533-position model. The record is from RNAcentral.
CAGGACCUACGGGGCGCAGCAGUGGGGAAUAUUGCACAAUGGGGGAAACCCUGAUGCAGCGAUGCCGCGUGGAGGAAGAAGGUUUUCGGAUUGUAAACUUCUUUUGUCAGGGGACAAAAUCAGGCUCGAGAGCCUGACCGAGGGUACUUGGAGAAAAAGCAUCGGCUAACUCCGUGCCAGCAGCCGCGGUAAUACGGAGGAUGCGAGCGUUAUCCGGAUUUAUUGGGUUUAAAGGGUGCGUAGGCGGACUGUUAAGUCAGCGGUAAAAGCCCGGGGCUCAACCCCGGCGAGCCGUUGAAACUGGC